AAAUUGAAGAGUUUGAUCAUGGCUCAGAUUGAACGCUGGCGGCAGGCCUAACACAUGCAAGUCGAGCGGUAGCACAGAGAGCUUGCUCUCGGGUGACGAGCGGCGGACGGGUGAGUAAUGUCUGGGAAACUGCCUGAUGGAGGGGGAUAACUACUGGAAACGGUAGCUAAUACCGCAUAACGUCGCAAGACCAAAGUGGGGGACCUUCGGGCCUCAUGCCAUCAGAUGUGCCCAGAUGGGAUUAGCUAGUAGGUGGGGUAACGGCUCACCUAGGCGACGAUCCCUAGCUGGUCUGAGAGGAUGACCAGCCACACUGGAACUGAGACACGGUCCAGACUCCUACGGGAGGCAGCAGUGGGGAAUAUUGCACAAUGGGCGCAAGCCUGAUGCAGCCAUGCCGCGUGUGUGAAGAAGGCCUUCGGGUUGUAAAGCACUUUCAGCGGGGAGGAAGGCGGUGAGGUUAAUAACCUCACCGAUUGACGUUACCCGCAGAAGAAGCACCGGCUAACUCCGUGCCAGCAGCCGCGGUAAUACGGAGGGUGCAAGCGUUAAUCGGAAUUACUGGGCGUAAAGCGCACGCAGGCGGUCUGUCAAGUCGGAUGUGAAAUCCCCGGGCUCAACCUGGGAACUGCAUUCGAAACUGGCAGGCUAGAGUCUUGUAGAGGGGGGUAGAAUUCCAGGUGUAGCGGUGAAAUGCGUAGAGAUCUGGAGGAAUACCGGUGGCGAAGGCGGCCCCCUGGACAAAGACUGACGCUCAGGUGCGAAAGCGUGGGGAGCAAACAGGAUUAGAUACCCUGGUAGUCCACGCUGUAAACGAUGUCGAUUUGGAGGUUGUGCCCUUGAGGCGUGGCUUCCGGAGCUAACGCGUUAAAUCGACCGCCUGGGGAGUACGGCCGCAAGGUUAAAACUCAAAUGAAUUGACGGGGGCCCGCACAAGCGGUGGAGCAUGUGGUUUAAUUCGAUGCAACGCGAAGAACCUUACCUGGUCUUGACAUCCACAGAACUUUCCAGAGAUGGAUUGGUGCCUUCGGGAACUGUGAGACAGGUGCUGCAUGGCUGUCGUCAGCUCGUGUUGUGAAAUGUUGGGUUAAGUCCCGCAACGAGCGCAACCCUUAUCCUUUGUUGCCAGCGGUUAGGCCGGGAACUCAAAGGAGACUGCCAGUGAUAAACUGGAGGAAGGUGGGGAUGACGUCAAGUCAUCAUGGCCCUUACGACCAGGGCUACACACGUGCUACAAUGGCAUAUACAAAGAGAAGCGACCUCGCGAGAGCAAGCGGACCUCAUAAAGUAUGUCGUAGUCCGGAUUGGAGUCUGCAACUCGACUCCAUGAAGUCGGAAUCGCUAGUAAUCGUAGAUCAGAAUGCUACGGUGAAUACGUUCCCGGGCCUUGUACACACCGCCCGUCACACCAUGGGAGUGGGUUGCAAAAGAAGUAGGUAGCUUAACCUUCGGGAGGGCGCUUACCACUUUGUGAUUCAUGACUGGGGUGAAGUCGUAACAAGGUAACCGUAGGGGAACCUGCGGUUGGAUCACCUCCUUACCUUAAAGAA
RNAcentral lists this ribosomal RNA (1550 nucleotides) under Klebsiella variicola. RNAcentral describes it as "bacterial SSU rRNA". It matches the Rfam family "Bacterial small subunit ribosomal RNA". Lineage: Bacteria; Pseudomonadati; Pseudomonadota; Gammaproteobacteria; Enterobacterales; Enterobacteriaceae. The record is from RNAcentral. RNAcentral also lists the same sequence under 1 other name.